CUGAAACAUUAAGAGAUUAAGUUACUGAGUAUAUUGUGUCCAGUCUUCAUCUGCAUUGGAUCAUGAAAAUGACGUCAUCUACAGCAGUGUAACCACAACAACCAAAAAGAAAACUCUCUCUCAGGCAGUCAGAGAUGAUGAGGUGAUCUACAGCUCUGUGGUUUUGGAAUAAGAGGUGUAAGCGAGUGUGUUUCUGGCCAGGUCUCUUACAAUGAAGAUACUGCAAUUCAAGACAUCUUACAACCCC
Molecule: long non-coding RNA, 247 nt
Organism: Pygocentrus nattereri (red-bellied piranha)
Lineage: Eukaryota; Metazoa; Chordata; Actinopteri; Characiformes; Serrasalmidae
Exons: 3
Source: RefSeq, a predicted model, not a curated record